CAUGUACCCCUCUGCUACCAAC
Molecule: non-coding RNA, 22 nt
Filed under: Rattus norvegicus (Norway rat)
Lineage: Eukaryota; Metazoa; Chordata; Mammalia; Rodentia; Muridae
Source: RNAcentral